RNAcentral lists this ribosomal RNA (254 nucleotides) under uncultured bacterium. Its description in RNAcentral is "partial 16S ribosomal RNA". It matches the Rfam family "Bacterial small subunit ribosomal RNA", at positions 524 to 776 of the family's 1533-position model. The record is from RNAcentral.
UACGUAGGUGGCAAGCGUUGUCCGGAUUUACUGGGCGUAAAGAGCGCGCAGGCGGUCGGCCAAGUCGAGUGUGAAAGCCCCCGGCUCAACUGGGGAGGGUCAUUCGAUACUGGUCGACUCGAAGGCAGGAGAGGGAAGCGGAAUUCCCGGUGUAGUGGUGAAAUGCGUAGAUAUCGGGAGGAACACCAGUGGCGAAGGCGGCGAUCUGGGCAGAUACUGACGCUGAGGUGCGAAAGCGUGGGGGAGCAAACAGG